RNAcentral lists this ribosomal RNA (462 nucleotides) under uncultured Bacteroidales bacterium. Its description in RNAcentral is "bacterial SSU rRNA". It matches the Rfam family "Bacterial small subunit ribosomal RNA", at positions 337 to 795 of the family's 1533-position model. The record is from RNAcentral. Lineage: Bacteria; Pseudomonadati; Bacteroidota; Bacteroidia; Bacteroidales.
UCCUACGGGAGGCAGCAGUAAGGAAUAUUGGGCAAUGGACGCAAGUCUGACCCAGCCAUGCCGCGUGCAGGAUGACGGCCCUACGGGUUGUAAACUGCUUUUGUACGGGAAAAAACCCCUGGUCGUGUACCGGGGCUGAUGGUACCGUAAGAAUAAGCAUCGGCUAACUCCGUGCCAGCAGCCGCGGUAAUACGGAGGAUGCAAGCGUUAUCCGGAUUCAUUGGGUUUAAAGGGUCCGCAGGCGGAUUCAUAAGUCAGGGGUGAAAUCCUACGGCUCAACCGUAGAACUGCCCUUGAUACUGUGAAUCUAGAGUACAGUUGAGGUGGGCGGAAUGUGUCAUGUAGCGGUGAAAUGCAUAGAUAUGACACAGAACACCGAUCGCGAAGGCAGCUCACCAAGCUGUAACUGACGCUCAGGGACGAAAGCGUGGGGAUCAAACAGGAUUAGAUACCCUGGUAGUC